Hypanus sabinus (Atlantic stingray) is the source of this 6700-nucleotide long non-coding RNA. RefSeq lists it as uncharacterized. Lineage: Eukaryota; Metazoa; Chordata; Chondrichthyes; Myliobatiformes; Dasyatidae. The record is from RefSeq and is a predicted model, not a curated record. The transcript has 3 exons.
CAUCAGGCUCCUGACCCAGCACAGAUAACUUCAACAUCAGUCUCCUGACCCAGCACAGAUAACUUCAACAUCAGGCUCCUGACCCGGCACGGAUAACUUCAAGAUCAGACUCCUGACCCAGCACGGGAUAACUUCAACUUCAGUCUCCUGACCUAGCACAGAUAACUUCAAGGAAGAGGGGCACCUGAGGGAGUUGAUGGGCAGGCAUUCACAGUAAAACAAAGGGACACAAUAGGAUCAAUGGGAAAAAACUACACACAGACAGGUACUGACAAAUAACCAAUGAGCAAAAGAAGAGAAACUGUGCAAAGAAUAAAUAAAAAGUAGUAAAUAAUACUGAGUUGUAGAGUUGCUGAAAAUGAGUCCAUAAGGUGUGGAAUCAGUUCAGAGUCAAGGUAUCAUGAUGGCCGCUGGCAAUGACUGAACCCAGGAGUGGCGGAAUGGAGGAGUGGAGGAAUGGCGGAGUGGAGGAGUGGAGGAAUGGCGGACUCCCCUUCAGAGGCGAACGCCAAAGGUUAUACCCAGGAAUACCACCAGAACAUCAGUGGCAUGGACGAGCAACACCGUAAGACAAAUCAUUCUUCACACAAGGACCCCACGAUGAGCACUAGUCAGGAGUCCGAUUUAAAUAUUCACAGAAUGCAGAAAAGCCCAUGAUGUUCACAAUGAACUUGACAGGAUUAAACAGAAAGCAGAAGGGCUUAACGGCUCUAGUUAACAUGACAAUUAGUAAAUACAGGUGCUCAAGAAGCCUGGAAAUCCACGGCAACCCGCAGAGGCCCACAGGGGUCAUGGCAUUGGGUUAUUGAAGUUAUGUGUGCUGAUUCAGGAGCCUGAUGUCGGGAUGCUCUUCAUUGAUUACAGCAGAACCUUCAACACUAUCACCCCAUCAAAACUAAUCAAUAAGCUCCAAGACCCGGGACUCGAUACCUCCUUGUGCAAUAGGAUUCUUGAAUGCCUCACAUGCUCACCCCAGUCAGUUCAGAUUGGCACCAUUGGCACUGGAGAACCACAAGACUUAGUGCUUAGCCCCCCUGCUCUACUCGCUUUUUACUUACGGCUGUGAGGCUAAGCAGUCACCAGGGAGUGAUGGAGAAAGUCCAGCCCUUCCCACCACACCCCACAGGGUCCUGAGGUUUGUUUUUGCCUCCUAAAAAUAAGCUUUAUUCAAAAGACAUCCAGGAAUACAAUGAGGACACAUCAUUCUCAUCAAUCACUGCAAGAAGAAAUUCAAUGCAUUGGCUUUCAGUGGAUCAACGCCAGCAUUGUUACAUCCUGAAAAAUUUCAUCGCUGAAGUACUUAUUUAUUCAUUUAGAGAUACAACGCAGAACAGGCCCUUCCAGCCUAGUGAGCUGUGCUGGCCAGCAGCCCACCUUUUAAUCCCAGCCUGAUCACAGGACCUUAAGGUUCCUUAAGGUCGUCAUAGACAGGGUUGUCAUGGGGACAAGAUCCCACUGCCUAUUAAAUGCUCCCAAUGAUUAUAGAUAGCAUUUCAGAAAGCCUCUGACAACCAAGUCCAGCUCCUGGCCUUCACAUGUGGCUUAGCUAUUGAACCUGGCUGAAUUGUUUCUACUGACAGGAAAAGGGGCAAACUGGCUCCUUAAAACAAAUCGCUUCAGGCAUCGAGGGCAGCUCGUCUCGGAGAAGGAAAACUCUGACCUCAAAUCUCCGCUGUCUUGCAGCUAUACCCACUCAUGGGGGAGGCUUCAAGCGCAAAACCCGAGGAAAAUCCAGAGCUGGAAUCCCUAUGUUGGUUUCGACGCUGACUGGCAACUCCUGCAGUGCUGUUGGUGUCAAACAGUGGUGGUCUCUGCCAUUCCUUCAGGAGAGGGGGAGUCUGCUACGUGGGCAACAGCUUGCUCCCCAUAAUGUACUGAUGGCUGACCCCGACCAAUGGAGGGCCUCAAAUCACAAGACAAUUUACAAUCUCCAAUUAACCCAUUAACCCGUAUGUCUUUUGGAAUGUAGGGGAAAACAGGAUCAGUCAGAGGAAACACGCACGGUCAUAGGGAGAACGUACAAACUCCUUAUAGAUGGUGCUGGAAUUGAACUCUGAACUCCGAUGCCCCGAGCUGUAAUAACAUUGCACUAAGCGCUACACUGCCACAGAACCCGGCCCCUCUGUGUCCUGUUCAGAACAGUUCCUACCCCUCUGCCAUCAGGUUCCUGAACGGUUGAUGAAAACUGAGAUGAGAGGCCUAGGUGAGGAUGGUGAGGAUUCACGUUCUAGAGUAUCAGAGAGUAGAACUCAUACACGAUUUUGAGACUGAGACAAGAACAGGGUUCUUGACCAGAGAUGAUGAGACUAGACAAAAAUCCAAACAAGACAGAAAUCCUAAACGCAAUUGUAGACGGAACCAAAGUUGAGCUGACAACUGAGCCCCGAACCUGAGGUCAGGUGCUCUGUAAAUAUGCAAAGCUUGGUGCUGAAACGUGGCUGCCCAUUAGCGGAGCAGGCUAGAAUUCUUGAAGGGACCGUGCCAGCUACCCAUGUUUCGGAGCAUCAGAGCACCCUAAACCCGGAGGAUGGCACAAUUGGGUGCAUACUGUAACACACCACCUCAGUGCUCCCUCCCCACCACUACCCCCUGUGAUCCCUGCAGUGAUGGUGCCUCAGCUGCUGUUUGCCUCCAGUAUUUUGUGUGUUUAACUACCUCGUUUGUUUAUUUUUGUAACUUGUGGUAAUUUUUAUGACUUGCACUGUACCGCUGUUGCAAAACAACACACAACAUACAUCGGUGAUAAUAAACCUGACUCAGUAGCACCCAUAAGAUACUGGAGCUGAAUUAGGCUAUUCGGCCCCAGACAGUGCUCCUUUCCCACAGUGUGUCUCUCAGUAUGUAUGCCAGUAGCUGGAAUUUGACUCUCAAUCGAGCUUGCCUGAGGAGCUGACAGAGAGAGUGUUAGGGACAGACACACGAGAUGCCCAAUGCAUCACUAGCACCGGCGUACCCACCAUCAAGGGCAUAUAUACAGAAGGGUGUCAGAAAAGGGCCAGUAACAUCAUGAAGGAUCCCACCCACCCUGCUCAUGGACUGUUUGUCUCUCUCCCAUCAGGGAGGAGGCUAUGUAGGACCACCAAACAGUUGCUCUCCUCAGGUAGUAAGACUGAUCAACACCUCCACCCAGUAACCCACCCCUCCACACCCCAACCACCACUACUUUAUCACUUCCUGUCGGUCACCUUAUGUAUAGACUCUCCUGCACCUGGCAUCACUUUAUGGACAUACAAUCAGUUGAUGUAUAUAAGCUAUCUUGUGUAUUUAUAUUUAUUGUGUUUUUUAUUAUUGUGUUCUUUAUCUUACUGAGAUUUUUUGUUCUCCUUUACGUAAGUGUAGUGGAUAUUACAUUAAACAAAUUACAUUACAAAUGACACAGUUAUACAACACAUAAACAGGCCGUUAGCCCAUUGAGUCAGCCUGGUAGUCAGCCACCCAUCAACUGCCCUUCACCUCCACACUAGCAGAAACAAAUUAAUCCGAUAAGCACCAGGGGAAACUCCUGGGGGUCACACAGACAGCGCUGGAGGUCAGUAUCGAACCCGGGCCUCUAGGGUUGAGAGGCAGUAGCUCUACUAGCUGAGCCACUGGGCCCAGUCCAGUCAAUGUUCACCGACAGAGUUGAGGGACUCUUCCUCGGUUUUGUGACUGUGGGUCAGCCACCUGGUGUAGAAACCAACUCUCUCUCUCUUCCACUCUCAGCAACACCUCAUAUUCUGCCUAGGAAGCCUCCAACCUGAUGGCAUGAACAUUGAUUUCUCCGACUUCCUCUAAAUUUGUUCCCCUCCUCCUUCCCUCUUCUUCUAUCCCCACUCUGGCCUCUUACCUCUUCUCCUCACCUACCUAUCACCUCCUCUCCCCGGUGACCUCUUUCUUCCUUUGGUCCAUUCUCUCCUCGAAUCAGAUUCCGACUUCUGUACCUUUCCCACCUAUCACCUCCCAGCUUCUUACUUAAUCUUCACCCCACUCCCCCACCCACCUGGCUUCACCUAUCACCUUCCAGUUUAUCCUCCUUCCCCACCCCCAUCAAUGUCUGUAUUCUGGCACCUUCCCAACAUCCCCCUCCCCGCUUACUUUUCAGUCGUGAUGAAGGGUCUUGGCCAGAAACUUUGACUGUUCAUUCUCGUCCAUAGGUGCUGCCUGACCCAACACCACUAGUAUAACUUCUUCCACCACCUGAAGCACCCACCACUCUCGUGUAAAAGAUGCCCCCCCACACCUCCUUUAAACUUUCUCCCUCACCUUGACUUGAUGGGCUGAAUGGCCUAAUUCUGCUCCUAUGUCUUAUGGGCUUAUGGUCAACAUAUACUCCAGCAACACAGGCAAAACACUGGAGGAACUCAGCAUGUUAGGAGCCAUCAAUGGAAAGAGGACAGAGUGGCGAAUAGAAGAAGAGGGGAGGGGAAGCAUUUUUUUCCACUGGAAGGAGAAAUCGAUAUUCAUGCCAUCAGUUUGGAGGCUAGCCAGAUGGAAUUAAAGUGUUUCUCCUCCACUCUGAGGGUAGCCUCAUCUUUGGCACAAGACGGUAACAUGACCAGCUGCAUGUGCUUAUGAAUAUCUCUGUCCACUGGAAGACCAGAGGUUCUGGGUACAGCAGAGAGCACCAGCGUGGCGUUACUGGCACAGGCAGACAGCUCUGGGUCAGAGGUUGAGGGAACAGAACCCUAGUGGAAUGGACGGUGUCCCAAACAUCCUGCAAUGGAUUUGCCUGUGCAGUCUGUUGGCAUUGUUCUGUCUGCCCUUUGCUUCCUAAAAGAGAAGGUUCCUCUAAAUCUGUGUAUUGUUAUAACAUAAUCGAGAAUUUAUGGCACAUGUUGAGGAACUGUACCUUGGCAGGUUGUCAGAAAUGUAAAAUGACUUCCAACCUGUAAACCACUUCAUUGGUUUUCUUUGAAGCUGGGUUUACAUAGAAAACAACCACUUCCAAGGUGGUUUGGGCUGUCAGGCUGGUUAGCUGGAGGUCCUCCAACACCAGCAACUGUUGAUGAUGGCAUCCAUCAGUCUCGAAGGACAGUGGAGUGUGCUCUCCAGGGCACAAGCCUGGGCUGAAGGUAAGGAGGUCCUGGAAUGGCCAGUUGUGAAGAUCCCACUCUCGUCCUCACUGGUGUAGUCCACAGGAAACUGAAGCGAUACGUUUGGCACCAGCUUGGCUGCAGGAGCUGCUGGAAGAAUGUCCGGCUGCCUUGGGAGCUCCAUUCUGGACCUCCUGCCUGGGUUUACUCCUGUGACCUUCGUCUCUCCCUCAAAGGACAGCGAUGGAUAACUGCUGCAAUUGAACAGCAAAAACUCCGCCACAGACAGUCCCAAGCCCGGCUGUGAGAGGAGGAGGUCUGGGCAUGGGGCCAGCAACCCCAUCCUGUGAAAACCUAGUGCUACCUAGUGCAAGCAAGUCUCCAGCGAUAUACAGAACGAGAACUGCCAAAGGUGCAAGCUGACAGAGGCACCAGAGACCAAAUUACUAACCCAUGCUGGAUAAUGGAAAAAUCGAGGGAAUUCCAGGGAAGCAUUUAUUUAUGUUUUAUUGACUCCUCUAAAGCCUUCAACAGCAUGGACCACAAUAAACUAUGGCAAAUGCUUAAAGACAUGGGGAUACCUGGACGUCUGAUCUGCUCUAUGAGAAACUUGGACUCAGAUUAAGAUGCAACAGUUAGAACUGAACACGGAAGAACAAACUGGUUCAGGAUUGGAAAAGGAGUACGACAAGGCUGCAUAUUGCCACCCUACUUAUUUAAUCUAUAUGCUGAACACAUCAUGAGGAAUGCUGGUCUAGAGGACUCAAAUGUUGGAAUCAAAAUUGCUGGACGAAAUAUUAACAACCUCAGAUAUGUGGAUGAUACUACUCUAAUGGCUGAAAGUGAGGAAGCUUCUAAUCAAAGUGAAAGAAGAAGGUGCAAAAGCUGAUUCAAUAUUAAGAAAACCAAGAUUAUGUCGACCAGCCCUAUUAGCUCCGUGGUAAUUAAUGGAAAGGAAGUGGAAGCAAUGACGGAUUUUGUUUUCCUCUGUUCAAAGAUUUCUAUAGAUGGUAACUGCAGCCACAAAAUUAAACACCGCUUACUUCUGGGCAGAGCAGCAAUAGCAAUACUGAAGAGUAGAGACAUAACAUCGUCUACGAAGAUCUGUAUAGUCAAGUCUAUAGUACUUCCAGUUGUGAUGUACGGCUGUGAGAGCUUGACUAUUAGUAAGGCUGCAGUAAAUAUUCUGGCCACAUCGUGAGAAGAGGAAAUUCCUUGGAGAAAACUCUCAUGUUAGGUAAAACAGGAGAGGAUGACAGAGGCUACGAUGGAUACAUGAUAUUACUCAGACAAUGUGUAUGACCCUGGGGGAUCUUAGAGAGGCAAUUUCCAGUAAGAAGGCUUAGUGUGCAGGAGUCCAUGAGGUCACGAAGAGUCGGACUUGACUGAACAACCGAACAACAGCAACAGAGACACCAACACUAGCUCUGGCACACCCUACCCUCUCACCAGGUGUGUAACGGCGCAGUAAUGGAAAUGUUUGUGCACACACAGCCUUUGUAGCCACACAGCUGGAAUUUUCUUUCAUGUAAUGCUAACAUAAUUUUGAAAUCUCUGUUAAUAUGGUUGUGAAAUACUCUGUAAUUAUGUAUUAAUGAAUUUAAUCCAUAAAUUUUCUAAAUUAUAAAUGUGCCACAACCUUUACUUUGAAAUAUUUUAAAGCUUCAAAAUAUUUACAUUGUUAGUGU